This 469-nucleotide ribosomal RNA is filed under the name uncultured bacterium. RNAcentral's name for it is "partial 16S ribosomal RNA". It matches the Rfam family "Bacterial small subunit ribosomal RNA", at positions 28 to 508 of the family's 1533-position model. The record is from RNAcentral.
GACGAACGCUGGCGGCGUGCUUAACACAUGCAAGUCGAACGGAAAGGCCCUGCUUUUGUGGGGUGCUCGAGUGGCGAACGGGUGAGUAACACGUGAGUAACCUGCCCUUGACUUUGGGAUAACUUCAGGAAACUGGGGCUAAUACCGGAUAGGAGCUCCUGCUGCAUGGUGGGGGUUGGAAAGUUUCGGCGGUUGGGGAUGGACUCGCGGCUUAUCAGCUUGUUGGUGGGGUAGUGGCUUACCAAGGCUUUGACGGGUAGCCGGCCUGAGAGGGUGACCGGCCACAUUGGGACUGAGAUACGGCCCAGACUCCUACGGGAGGCAGCAGUGGGGAAUAUUGAACAAGGGGCGGAAGCCUGAUGCAGCAACGCCGCGUGCGGGAUGACGGCCUUCGGGUUGUAAACCGCUUUCGCCUGUGACGAAGCGUGAGUGACGGUAAUGGGUAAAGAAGCACCGGCUAACUACGUGC